AACUAACAAGCAUCUUUAUCCAUUAACUCACAUUUAAUCACAAUGGGGCUGGAGAAAAGGAACAAAGGUUAUGCAGUCCCACAGUAGUUUCUCCUUUCACAAACAACCUGGUCAGAAGACUCAAGGGAGACCCUCAGAUGGCUGGAGCUCUGUCCUCUCUGAUAUUCUGCCCUAAGAACUCUGACUGUCUCAGUUUUCCAAACUCCCAACACUGUAUCUCAGCUCAAGGAGCCCCUUGUCUGCACCAUGGCUUGGAGACUUUUUAGGAAAUCAGCUUGGACAAUCAUAGAGCUCACCUCAUAUGUUCAGCCUCUUUCAGGUAUCACUGUCCGGUGCUCCUGAUGUCUAAUGUCUACUGUAGCUUCAUGUAUUUUUGCCUGUUUAUUUUUUAGUUAUUUUCAAAACAGAGGAUCAAGUAGGUCUUGUUAUUCCACUUUGUCUAAAGUCAAAGUGUGUAGCUUUACAGCUUCUGAGUGUGGUUGGUGAGUGAUAUGUUUGAAGGAGAGAGUAAAUUACAUCUGGAAUGAUCAAUUAAAACUUUCAGAGUAAUUUAAGAUGCUGUAUUAAAAUUUAUAUCAGUUUUGAUUGUUAAAACAUAAUUUCCAUGGAUUUAUACUCAUAAUUUUUAUAUAAAUACUUAGGGACCAGAAUGAUAAAGUUUUAUUUCUCAUUAAUGUGGUAACAGAAGGAUGUUAAAGCCAAUUAGAAAAGUGAGACGAAGGGAAAACAAAUGACCUUUUAGAAAAAUAUGCUGGAAUAAGAUUGCUUAUCUAGAUUUAAAAUUGACUGAUGUCCCACAGGGCAACACAAUCACAAACUUUGGGGUUAUCUUCUCAGAACAAAACUUUUUGUCUGUAUUAUACAAAAAUUCAUUUACAUCAUAUCAUAUUCAUUUUCCACAAGUUAACAUCUAACUUUUACAAUGUCUGAACUUUAAUUAAUGGUAAUAGUAAGUAAAAUAAAAGUUACUUUCCCUUAGAGAGUUGGUGGGCUCUCGAGCAGGCAUAUGACAGUGUUUUACUAAGGGACUGAGUAGACAUAAGUCAUCUUUCUUGCUUUAUUUCCAAGUUUUGAAAAACUUUUCUAAGCAUGGGAGUUCCCAAUGAGUCAAUGAGAUUUCCAUCACCUAGCUGGCCACUUGCUCAAGUAAUGAAAAGAAUGAGUUGUGGUUUCUGUGAUUAUUUUUAUGUUAGAAUCACAUGGGAGAUCUUUUCAAAACUAGGAGCCCAGGGCUUCUUACCAGACUAGACUCUUUUAGGGUGAAGCUUAGCACCAUUAACUUCUUAAAGAGGCUCAUAGUUAUUCUAAUGUGCAGUCUGAGUUGAAAAUCACUGGUCUAGAUGGGUUGCUCAGAUCCCUUUCAAUAAUAAUGCUCUGUGAUUCUCCAGCUUGAAACACAGGCAAAUCACUUUUCAGAAAGCAGACAUAAAUACAAGCUCAGCUGACUGCCACACAUCACUAGAGGCUUGGAAAUGAUCAGGGUUGCCUGCAUUCAUUCCAGGGUGCGGAAGCAGCAGGCAAGGCCAGGGGUGGGAGAGCUGAAUGAUGGGUCUUUGUGUUCCAAUUAUCAUCAGGGUGAGUUGGUAGAAAAGAGAUAGGAAUGUCUGCCAUCAAUUUCCUUUAAAAAUAGCUAUGGCAGAAUUCAUUUUGUGUCCCUGCCCCUACACUGUUGAGCUCAUCUCUGCUUCAGAGCAAGAGCUCUUUCACUGGGUUAUUAUUGGAGAUGGUGUUUCUGAUUCCAGACCGUGCAUUAAUAAAUUAAGGCCAUGACCAAUAAUAUGCACAAAAAUAGUGCAGCAAGUAAAAGCGUUUACAAUAAUUUCAAGUAAUAAAACUGUACUUCAAAUUCUAUUCCUUUGUGCUUGCUAUCAUCAAAAAGUACUUUUAUAACUUUUAUUAAAAACUAAAAAUCAUUUUUAAAAGCAUAGACUUUUGGAAUUCUUUAUCCUACAACCAUGUUUAUGAGAGACAUGUAGGAAAUACAAUGGAGCAAGCUGGAAAUUAAAAGAAAGUUUUAAACUUAAUAAGAGCUUUUUAAAACCAUAAAUUAAUGUUGAUUUUUUCAAGUGGGUUUUGGGCAUCUUUCUUGAUUUUUUUUUUGUAUAUCCUUUUAUUGGUACAUUUUAGUUGUACAAUAUAAUGACAUUCAUCAUUGGAGAUAUACACCUUCUUUCUUGGUUUUAUGACUUCUUUGAUAUAUUGCUAUCCAAAUCUUAAAGGGUAAAUCCUCCUGAUUAUGAUGGAUUAUUCUUUUGAUAGUCUAUUUGAUUCCAUCUACUCCCCCUGACACUUCUGGUGAUAACUAUCUUUUUUCCUUUAUGUGAAAUAUUCUGUUGAAUUGGGUAGGAAUGGUAUAAACUUUUACAGCCAUUUGACAGAUUAGAAAACUGAGAUGGGCGAUACUGAAUGACUUAUUAACCAAGAACAAAUGGAAAAAAUGUAACAAAGCUUAUACGCAAAUAUUUGACUCCUGAUUUCUGCUCCAAGGAUUUUUCCUUCCUCUAGAAAAUUUUUGUUUUCAUCAUGCAAAUAUCUCAACCAUUAACUCUUUCAUUUAACCUCAUAGUAUUUCAUAUAACCUAAAAAUAGUAUCUUAAAAGGAGAAUUUUCUAUUUGAGCCAUGUCAUUAAUGCUAUUCCAAAUCCUAAUUCCUAAUGCUCUCCUGUUUUUAAAUUUGUUUUUAAAUUCUGCACAGUAGCAGUUCUUGUAACUGUAUUUAACAAUCAUGGGGCUUGGGGAAAGUGUGGAAUGGAAGUGGAAGGAGGUUAAAGCAAGGGUGAUCAAUGGAUGGCCGAUCCAUUAGCAGGGCCAUAGAGUCCACAGAUGAAUGGAUUUGAGAUGGGACUGGACACUUGGUUUGAAUUCCAGGUAUGAAAUCUAUAAAGUUUACAACACAGUCCUGGACUCUGGGGAAAAGUUGGGCUGAGCAUAUACAUUUGGUAACGAUCAGGGCAUAUGGAUUAGUACAGCUUUGUGAAUAGAAAUCGCCCAGGGAGUGGGUAGGGAGCAAGAAGAAAGGAAUGUGAAAUGCACCAACAUUUCUGGGGAUAGAAGAAGAGGAGUUCAGAAGGGCAGAAAGAAGAGUAAGAGAAGGAAAGAGAAAAGCAAGGGCCUACAGUAUCCUGAAAGCAAGGGAAGAGAAAUGUUGUCCUCCUUUCUUACCUCCAACCUGUCUUCCCCUAGGCUUUCUCAUCUUAGUGAGUGCUCACCACUCAGCUGCUCACAUAGCAAACUACUAUCUCUGCCUGGAACAGAGGCUCCUUAGGGGUCUCCCAACUUCAGAUCUUGUUUUUAUGUCACUACCUAGGCCAUAUAUCCUCCAGUGGUCAGAGUGCUUUACAAAAGAACAAUCAGAUCACACCAUAUCUCUGCUUAACUCUCCCAAUGGUUUCCCAUUGUACUUUGACCAUGAAGUUUACAACAUAGUCCUGGAACUCUGGGGAAAAGUUUGUUACCAUGAUCUAACCUGUGGCCAAGUUCUUCAGCUCUGUCCUGUACCAUUCUCCACUACGUCCACUCUACCCAGCCCCCGGGUCUUCAUGCCUUCUCUCUGUUCUUUGAACAUACCAAGUCCUUUACUUACUUCUGGUCUUUUGAAUAUAGUCUGCACAGACCUAUACAGGGCUGGCACUCACCUUCAGCCAGUCCUCAGCCAAAACAUCACCCCCUCAGCAAGGCCCUGACCACUCAUCUAAGUAGCAGAUACCCAGUGUAUUAGUUAGCUAGGGCUGUGUAACAAAAAAAGAACAGGAAUUAAUUGUCUAACAGUUCUGGAGGCUGGAGAUCUGAUAGGAAGUUAUUGGCAGGGUCAGCUCCUUCUGAGGGCUGUGGAGACUCUGUCCUAGGCUUCUCCCUGGGCUUCUACAUGGUUAGCUUCUCCUUUUGUCUUGUCACAUCAUUAUCCCUCUAUGUAUGUGUCCAAAUGUCUUCUUUUUAUAAGGACGUCAGCCAUACUGGAUUAAAGUGCCCCCUAAUGAUUUCAUUUUAACUUGAAUAAAGAGUUCUAGGGCUAGAAUUUCAACAUAUGAGAAAGAGAGCUCCAUUCAAAGUGUGAAAUCAAUACCUACUUUCUAGCAUAUGACAUUGCUACAUCCUGUUCAUAGCAUUUGUCCCUAUCUGAAAUUCUAUUGUUCACAUUUGGCUUGUAUUUUAUCGUUUGUCUCUGGAAUCUCCACAGAAAAGGAAACAUGCCUGUUUCUAUAGCAGAAUCUGCCAGUACCCAUGACCUAUCCCUGUUACCAUAGAUACCAGCAGCUUCUCACUGCAGGCAUCUGCAAUUUCCUGUCUGAGUCUUCCUGUAGCAUGCUUGCCCUCACAUGAGACAGACUGAGACAGACAGGAGGUGCCUGGAAGGUAGUGACUGAUGAGAUUUGGAGUGGGAAUACCCCUCACCUUGAUGGGGAGAAUGCUGAUUGCUUUCAAUCAUUGCUGAGAUAUCCCCAGCAGGACUGAACUAAGUUUUGCAUAGGGCUCAUGAAUGGGUCUGCAUUGGACUUCUUUCUGACUUCCAAAUCAGUGUUCCCAGAGGUCACUUUCCAAGUAAAUCACUUACAUUUAACUCCUGUCUUUAGCUCUGCUUCACCGGAGAACCCAAUAUAGAAGGCCUUUAUCACUGUUGUCCUGGUGCUUAAACAGUCCAUAAUACAACAGUUAUGGUAAAUACUCAGGAAAUCUUGAUGAAUGAACUGACACAGGGAGCUGUCACUGACAUUGUCAAAUCCUGCAAAUCUAAGAGAUCCAGUGGAAGAGAACUUAACAAAAAGAGCAAUUUGGUGAUUAUGAGCUUAUCACUGGCUAUAGUGAGAGGAAUUUGUUACAGAGGUGGGGCCAUAAAUCUCAUUUUGGAGAGUAAUACGAGUUGAGCAAUGUAGGCAGUAAAGGACAGGGAAAAGUUAACUCUAUAAGACAGCAGGAUAGGAUUUUUUUUGAUGAGAAAUAUUUGAGCCUGAUUUAAUGACAAAGAAUGAACAUAGAAAACUAGUGGAUCAGAGACUUGUUGGACAAAUUUGUCACUCAGUUAGUGAGUACAGAUAGAAGAGUUGGCCCAAAGAAAUAGAAACCUCUUAUCUUCCACGAAAGGAGCUAGGAAGCAAGUUAGUAAACAGAAAUAUGAACAUAAACACACAUACAUAAUGAUAGGUCUCCCACCACCUCAGCAGCUAUUAAAUAUAGUAGCUGCCCUCUUCCUAUGGUGCCUUGCCCCCUCCCCUGUGUGACAUCAUGCCAAGAUGGUUGCUCCCACCAAAGAACAAACCCUUCUUCCCAGCAUGCCCCUGUUCCCACCUAGACAGUAACCUAAUACUCGCUCACCUCCUACCACCUAGUGACAUCACCGGCUCCUCCAUUCCCUAGUCACUACCUCAUUCAACCCCGCCUCAGCCCCUACAAGCCCCACCCCAGUCUCUAUAAAAGACUCUCCCUGCCCCAGCCAUAUUGCUUUUGUCUCUCCUUUGUUCAGAGACAGCCCGGCAGAUCUAUUCCCCUAAUAAAGGCUUGUUGUGGCCUGGUCUGGUCUUGGUCUUCGGCCCUUUUACCUGACAUUUCUGGUGCCGUGACUCGGAUGGUAGAUGGUCCAUUAAGGGACGAUCCCCCGCAGGACGGGGUUGAUUGACCUUUUGGCCAUCUCCAACGGACCUAUCUGCCGUUGCCAGGACCCUCCGGGGCUUUCUACCUUUGCCAUUGCUGACGCUACACAUCCACAUCGGUCACCAAUGUCUGGGUGAGUAGGGAGUUCAGCCUCCCUCUCGUCGGGUUCUCUGUCUCGUUCUCUCUCCCUCCGGGGACUUCUCAGAAAUCCAAGCGCUUGGUCAGAGAAACCCCCACGGCCUCUGGGCCCAGGACCGUGCCCCUGGGAGACGUCCCAUCGGCCCGCCUCCUCUCUUUCUCUCCCUCUGGGAGACUCACUGGGAGAUUGUCAAAGGAGACAAGGACUCUUCUCCCCUUUGUCUUUCUCCCCAGGGGCUGCCUCCUCCUCACCCGCUCUAAUCAGGGGCCCAACAAUCCAAACCCCGCCCCUCAACGCCUCUGGGCUGCCUUCUGGCACAACUCAAACCCCUCGGAUUGUUGGGACCAGACUUUAGGCCAAAAAGAUUUGUUUUCUAUUGUAAUCAGGUUUGGCCUCAGUAUAAACUAGAUAAUGGGUUUCCACGCCCCAAAAAUGACACUUUCAAUUUUAACAUACUGUGUGAUUUACACAACUUCUGUCAGUGCAAUGGCAAAUGGUCAGAAAUCCCCUACAUACAAGCCUUUUCUACCUAUGCUCUUAACCCUCCCUCUGUCAAACCUGUUCUUCUCAAGUACUCCUAGCCUGAGCCGAUCACUCACCGCUCAUACCUCCCCCACUUUAUAACUCUGUUGAUAAGAAAAAGUUUUAAAGCUUAAUAGAUUAGCUAUUAAAGUAGUUGUGGAAGCAAACUAAGUAGUGUAUCCCUUUAAAAACUUGCAUUAGCCCAUUGCUUCUGCUGUUCAAAGUGAAGGUUAUAUAGCUUCUUUGAUUUGUAGCUCCACUAUAGAUAACAUCCUAACUAAAGAAUGAAGUGAAAAUCCUUGAACAAACUUGUGAUAUAUGUGCCUUAACUGUCAUGUGUUUAGGGCUGUAAUCAGUGACAGAAACCACCUGUGUCUAACCAUUAAACAGGAAUUAGAACUUUAUUUACUUAACAAAGACCACUGGGGAUGAGAUAAUGAUGGACAAAAGUAUAAAAUGUUUAUAGUGAGUCGGAGACAAAAUAUUUAAAAAGCUAUAAGUAAAAGAUAUAUUUUUGAUAUAAAAGGAUUUUAUGUUUGUCUUAUUAGCAGGACAAGACCAAAAGGCCUAAGUACAUCAAGAAGGUGUGCGAAAGUGAUUUAUAAAGGAAAUAUAUGUUUACUUGUUGGUUUCAAGUUUGUUAUAAAAGGUUUACAGAAAUAGAGGUUUCAUUGCUUCUGAUUUUAAUUCUACAAGAGAUCUCUGUUAAUUGACUUACAAAAAGUUUUAAAUAGUCUUAUUUAUAAUUAUAAACCUAAAAUUAUAAAGAGAUUAUAAUUCCAUUGGGCUAAAUAUAUUUGAGUGCACUCUAGUUUUAGAAAUUGUCUUAUAUCUUUGUUUUUGUCCAAUCAUACAGCUGUUUUGUUUAUAGAUAAAGGUUAUUAAGUUCAAGGCAUGCUCCCCUUGGUGAACAAAGGAGCGGCCGCAUGGAAAUAUUUUCCAGUCUUUGUUCACUAGGGGGACCUCAACAGUUUUCAUCUUACAACAGACUGACCUGAUGGUUUUCAUAGCCUUAUAAAAGACUUACAGGAAUAAAUAUUAUUUAAAUAUAUUAUUAUACUGUUUAUAUCAAUUGUCAUCAAAGGGAUAAAUUCUAAAUAUGUUAUUAUGGUGUGCUUACAUUGGUCAUUUUCAAAGGACUAAAUAUCCUGUAAAAAACAACAAUAACAAGGUUUUAUUUUUUCUAGUGUACUAAAUGUAUUUAUACUUUCUGACUGUACAGGUUUUCUAAUAUUUGUUUAUGAUAAUAACCUCUUUUUGAUUCAGGUAUUUGCCUUUUCAUACACUCUAGCUAUUUAUGAUAACAGAUACAUAUAUGGGGUAUUUUCUUUAGAUGGUAUCCUAUCAAAAGAUUAUUUAUUUAUUUUUUAAAAGAUAAUUUAGGUAAAAACUUUUGGUGUUUUAAAAAAAAUGAGUACAUUUAAUGAUGGCUAUUUUAUAUCAAGGUGGACAUUUAAAUGUGUUACAAAGGUAAAGUCAUCAUAAUUGUCAUGUUAAAAUAUUAUUUGUGGCUCUUUUUCUGUUAAUAUUCUACAGGAAUUCAACUACUAAAAAACAACCAUGACUGAUGACAGUAACAGUUCUCUAUAUUUUAAAUUCCAAAAUGUUUGUUAUUCAGGUAAAACUAUAAUAGUUAAGUUCAUUAUUCUUGUUACAAUGCUAACGCUAUUGACCUUCUCUUCUGGGUGUUCAACAACUAAAGUUUGGAGACCAAAACUAAAAGGUAACUGGGCUAUGAGGACAGCCAAUAUUUUGGCCCUGGCCCCUCAAGGUCAACAAAGUUCCAGGACAUGAGGGAACCUUCUCUACAGGGUCCUACAUCUUUGGGAUCAAACUCCGGACCUUCCUUGAAAGUUAUUUGGAUAGAUGAUAUUGGCACAUUGUUUAAAAUUCAAGAACUGAAGAGCACAGAGUGAAGAAUAAAUCUCCUUUUCUUAUCACCCAUCUCUGUCUCCUACUGUUGCUUGUUUCUUAUGUAUCCUUUUAAAAACAGCACAAUAGGUAUUGUGGAUUGUGUUUGUACAUGUUUGUGUAUUACGGGGAUGAGCGUAGUUAAUAUAUAUGUGUGUAUCUCUACAUGUAUAUCACUUUCUGCAUAUGUAUAUAUUUAUAACAUGAAUAUAUGUACAUAUUAUUUUAACCUUUUACAAAUGUGUGUGUUGAGGAACUUUUCAUUUAUUUAUUGAUUUAUUGAUGUAUUGACUUAUUGAUUGUGUCAGGGAUAGAACUCUGGGACUCAUACAUGUUAGGCAAGUGCUCUACACUGAGCUCCAAUCCCAGCCUUGCUUUAGUUUUUGUUGUAGUUGUUUUGUUUUUGAGACAGGUUCUCUAUGUAGCUCAGGCUGGCCUAGAACUAGAACCUCCUGCCUCAGCUUCCAGGGUGGGAUUAUAGGCACGUAUCAGUACACCCCCCAAUCUUGCACCAGUUUUUAAAAAUGGCUGCAUAGUGUUUAGUUUUAUAGAUAUAUGUCAAUUUAUUUACUGAGUGCUUUGUUGGUAUAUCAUUCUCUAAAUUCUUUUUUUUUUCCUGAACAAAGUGCAUGCAUGCUACUGAGCACACUGGGCCAAAGGACAUGUACAUCGAAAACAUUGACAGAGGGUGUGGAACUUCCUCAUAUCAAUAUGCACCCUCAUAAUGAGGAAAAGAAUGGGAGAAGAGGGAGUGGGAAGUAGAAGAGGAGGGUGGAGCAGCAGGACAGUGGAGCGUCAGAUGGCGAGAUGCCAGUGGAGUAGUCCCUGCCCUGACCAGGUCCAGGGUGUGGACCCAGCAGGAAGUUGCUGGUAUGGGGUGGAGGAGAGGUGAAGGUCAAUGAGCAGAGGAUGUCCAGGAACUGUGAGAAGAAUGAGUCACCAAGAUGAUGGGGCAGCCUGUCUUCCCUGGUGGGUUCAUCAUCAUCAUCAUCGUCACUCACGAAACACAGCCAUGGUAGCUGUCACUUCCCUUUCAAACUAGCAGGAGAAGGACAGGUGCCUCUUGGUCCUCUUUCUACUCUAUGGGCAGCAAACUUCACACUUGAGUUCACUCAAGAGGAAGCACAUUGAUCAACAUGGCCACCUCGGGGGACAGGCAAUGAUGUUUCCAUUUUUUAUGAUGGCAUCUGGGGCAGUGAGACAGGCAGGGCUGUUUUCCCAGCUCCUCCUGCUUCAAUGAAUACCAAUUAGGCCUGUGGAUAAUUUGUUUGACAUCUUCAGUCCCCAGAGUGUUUCUGACUGACAUCAUCAAAUCAACCCUGGCUUGAGGAGCCCCUUCCUAGAGUUAAUGUAGAGACUUGGUUAGGAAUUGUGUUCAACAGCAGGUAGCAGAGACUGGGAAAUCAAUGGUGAAAACCAGAGAUGGGUAUUUUUCUCUAAUGUAACAUAGAGUCCAGGGACAAGUAUGUUACAAAAGUCACAGUAACUUCAGAAAGUCAUUGGUGUCUCAAGCUCCUUUGUUCUUCUGCUCUGAUCUUAGCCGAAAGGCCGAGAAGCAUCUGCUCUGCUUCUCUAGAGCCAACUUUAUUUUCCAGCUUCUGGAAUGGCUGCUGGAGCUCUAGCCCUUGCGCCUAUUUUCCAUGCUGGAAGCCAGAGGUAGAGAUUAAGGCAAAAGGGAGCGUGCCUGAUGUCUUCCACCUCAUCUUCUAACAAGCUAUCCCAGAAGCUCCACUCAGUAUUGGAAUCUUGCGUCUCAUUGAAUGGUUUACCCUGAUGUCACCCCCUGUUUCUACAGGGAACCCGGGAAAUGGAUUUUUAGCUGGGUUUAUUGCUGCCCCCAACAAAUCAGGGUUUUGUUCACAAACAAAAAGAAACAAAUGGAUGUUGGCUAGGCAACUAGCAGCCUCUUGCAGAUGUCAUGGACAUUUUACACUUUAAAAAUUAUAUUUUAUUUUUUAUUGUGAUAAAAUACAUAAUUUUACCAUUUAACCAUUUUUCAGUGUACACUGGCAUUAAGUACAUUCCUAAUUUGUAAACUUCACCACUAUCUAUUUCCAGAGCUUCCAUAGCAAAUGGUAGCACUGCAUUCAUUAAAUAAUAACACCUCAUUCCCUUCUCCUCAGACACCAGUAACUUCUGUGUUAUUGUCCAUCAUCAUUUAGGUGGAAUCAUAUAAUAUUUGUCCUUCUGUGUCUGGCUAAUUUCAGUUAGCAUAGUGUUUUCAAGGUUUGUUCAUACUGAAGCAAGUACCAAACUUCAUUUUUUUUUUAUUGCUGAAUUACUUCCCAUUUGAUGGAUAUAAUAAAUUUUGAUUCUUCAUCCAUCUGUCUCUGAACAUUUGCAGUGUUUCCAGCUUUUGGCUGCGUGUGUAAGCUGCUAGGAAUACUGGUAUGAAAGAAUCUGCUUGGGUCCCUGUAUACACCUGGGUAAUGUGGUAAUUCUAUGUCUAACUUCUGAGUAUUUUCCAAACAGACUUUACAUUUUCUAUUCUAUUUAGUCUUCACAGACUUGGAGGUUGUCUCCUCUGGGUCCCAGUGACCUCCCCAGUUGGGGAUACUGCACGCUGCCCCCAGUAGGGGAUUCUAGUGUAGUAGGCACUGAUGUGUGCUUGAUGGAGCCAUGCCUGUUUUAGAAGUGAGAAACAAAUGUAGGAGGCUAAGUCAAUGGCCUGUCCUGUUAUUAUUCUCUUGGUAAUCAGAAUUCCCCCAUCUCAAUUCCUGGCCCUGCCCUUAGGGAGUUUCCCACGAAUUUGUGGGAAGCCUUAUGGGUCUAGAUUCCUCCAGAAGUAUGGACUUGUGAAGCCCUCACCAGGAGGUUCCAGGCAGGAACUAUGUCCAUCCCCUUGCUCACUCUUAAAUCAACCUGUCACCACCUUAGCAAGGAGAGAGCAGAUGAACUGAAUUUAUUCCACAUUGCAACGGCAGUUCAGAAUGAGCCAUAGCACAGUGGGGAAGGAAAUGGUUUCCCAAGCCAGGUCGCUUGACUUCAAAUCCCAACUUGCUAUGUUUUUGUAGUGUGAUCUUUAUUUAACUUCCCUAACCCUCAGCUUCGUCAGCUGAAGAUGGUGGAUUAAUAAUAAAGCUUUUACUUACUUCACAUGAUUGCUGAGUAUUGCCUGCAUUCACACAUCACUCCAGAAGCAUUCUGCACAUGUGUCAGUAGUCUCAACACACUUAUACCAAUGAUGUCAAUUCACACUGCAACAGUUAACAGCAAACAGAUUCUUAUUCUGGAAAUAAAAACUAAAACCUCAAAAAGAGCUGAAAUGGAGCUCGGUGAUAGAGCACUUGUCUAGUGUGUUCAAGGCCCUGGGUUCAAUCUCCAGGACUAAAAACAAAAACAAAUGAACAAAAAAGAACAAAACUAGGAGUACAAAAAUGAAAGAAG
Heterocephalus glaber (naked mole-rat) is the source of this 11545-nucleotide long non-coding RNA. The record is from Ensembl. NCBI's taxonomy places the organism in Eukaryota, Metazoa, Chordata, Mammalia, Rodentia, Bathyergidae.